GUGCUUCCUUCAGCAGCACAUACACUAAAAUUGCAAUGAUACAGAGAUGAGCAUGGCCCCUGAGCAAGGAUGAUAUGUGAAUUCAUGAAGCAUUCCAGAUAUCU
Small nuclear RNA from Callithrix jacchus (white-tufted-ear marmoset), 104 nucleotides. The record is from Ensembl. Lineage: Eukaryota; Metazoa; Chordata; Mammalia; Primates; Cebidae.